This 253-nucleotide ribosomal RNA is filed under the name uncultured Prevotella sp. RNAcentral's name for it is "partial 16S ribosomal RNA". It matches the Rfam family "Bacterial small subunit ribosomal RNA", at positions 524 to 776 of the family's 1533-position model. Lineage: Bacteria; Pseudomonadati; Bacteroidota; Bacteroidia; Bacteroidales; Prevotellaceae. The record is from RNAcentral.
UACGGAGGAUGCGAGCGUUAUCCGGAUUUAUUGGGUUUAAAGGGAGCGUAGGCCGGCUUUUAAGUCAGCUGUGAAAGUCCGCGGCUCAACCGUGGAAUUGCAGUUGAAACUGGAGGCCUUGAGUGCACACAGGGGUGCCGGAAUUCAUGGUGUAGCGGUGAAAUGCAUAGAUAUCGCGCAGAACUCCGAUUGCGAAGGCAGCAUGCCGGCUCCACACUGACGCUGAGGCACGAAAGUGUGGGUAUCAAACAGG